Spea bombifrons (plains spadefoot toad) is the source of this 112-nucleotide long non-coding RNA. RefSeq lists it as uncharacterized. NCBI's taxonomy places the organism in Eukaryota, Metazoa, Chordata, Amphibia, Anura, Pelobatidae. The transcript has 2 exons. The record is from RefSeq and is a predicted model, not a curated record.
AGCUGCUGUUCCUGACUCUGAUUGCCCUAGAGGACUGUGCUUAGGACCCCUAAAACGUGACAUAAUGCGGGCAAAGCACUGCUAUGGUCUGUGGGCAGAAAGCAGGAACCAA